GUCUCGUUGGUGUAGUUGGUUAUCACGUGGGUCUCAUAAUCCCAAGGCCGCCAGUUCGAGUCUGGCACGGGACA
Parastagonospora nodorum SN15 is the source of this 74-nucleotide non-coding RNA. The record is from the annotation of a RefSeq genome assembly. NCBI's taxonomy places the organism in Eukaryota, Fungi, Ascomycota, Dothideomycetes, Pleosporales, Phaeosphaeriaceae.